RNAcentral lists this long non-coding RNA (282 nucleotides) under Homo sapiens (human). RNAcentral describes it as "HSALNT0409176". The record is from RNAcentral. Lineage: Eukaryota; Metazoa; Chordata; Mammalia; Primates; Hominidae.
ACAGUAGAAGAGUCCAGCAGAACAAAGUUGGAAGCAGAGGGAGUGAAUCUAAACCUAUGGACAGAUUCAUCUUGGAAACCCUAAGUGAGGCUAAAGGGAGAAAACAAAUUGGAAGGAGAUUUAAAGGAUUCUCAAAUACAAACUGAAGUUUUCAAGAACAGGAUCAUGAAGGACAGUAAAAAUCAGGAAUUGCCAAACUUUGUCACAAUGGCUGUACAACAUCAGUGAGCCGAAGUCAUACCACUGCAUUACAGCCCGGGCGACAGAGAAAGACUCCAUCUC